UAAUAUAUACGUCAAUGGUUUCAUAUAUUCUGUGACUGAGCCACCGUCAUUAGUGAUUACUCCACUUACGCGCCAUUACGCGUUUGAUCUUUGAAGACAUCAUUAUCGACGAGUCGCAAAAUAACUAUAGCACAAGACGUGAUAUUUUCGGCUGAGGUGUAUUCAUUUAAACAAAAGACUUUUAUCAACACAAAAAUUAUGAGAAGCGUUACAAAAAAAUUAGGAACUUAUUUCCAAAAAUCUGCAGGAUACAAACUGAUCAGGUCAUACAAAACUGAU
RNAcentral lists this long non-coding RNA (279 nucleotides) under Acyrthosiphon pisum (pea aphid). RNAcentral's name for it is "uncharacterized LOC103310423, transcript variant X1". The record is from RNAcentral. Lineage: Eukaryota; Metazoa; Arthropoda; Insecta; Hemiptera; Aphididae.